GAUGAACGCUGGCGGCGUGCCUAAUACAUGCAAGUCGAGCGAACAGAUAAGGAGCUUGCUCCUUUGACGUUAGCGGCGGACGGGUGAGUAACACGUGGGUAACCUACCUAUAAGACUGGGAUAACUUCGGGAAACCGGAGCUAAUACCGGAUAACAUUUGGAACCGCAUGGUUCUAAAGUGAAAGAUGGUUUUGCUAUCACUUAUAGAUGGACCCGCGCCGUAUUAGCUAGUUGGUAAGGUAACGGCUUACCAAGGCAACGAUACGUAGCCGACCUGAGAGGGUGAUCGGCCAAACUGGAACUGAGACACGGUCCAGACUCCUACGGGAGGCAGCAGUAGGGAAUCUUCCGCAAUGGGCGAAAGCCUGACGGAGCAACGCCGCGUGAGUGAUGAAGGGUUUCGGCUCGUAAAACUCUGUUAUUAGGGAAGAACAAACGUGUAAGUAACUGUGCACGUCUUGACGGUACCUAAUCAGAAAGCCACGGCUAACUACGUG
RNAcentral lists this ribosomal RNA (497 nucleotides) under uncultured bacterium. Its description in RNAcentral is "partial 16S ribosomal RNA". It matches the Rfam family "Bacterial small subunit ribosomal RNA", at positions 28 to 507 of the family's 1533-position model. The record is from RNAcentral.